UCUGAUAUAACAAGCAAAAAAUUAAAACUUUCAACAACGGAUCUCUUGGUUCUGGCAUCGAUGAAGAACGCAGCGAAAUGCGAUAAGUAGUGUGAAUUGCAGAAUUCAGUGAAUCAUCGAAUCUUUGAACGCACAUUGCGCCCUUUGGUAUUCCUUAGGGCAUGCCUGUUCGAGCGUCAUUUAAACCUUCAAGCUCAGCUUGGUGAUGGGUGACUGUCCUCUCCUCGCGUUAGGACUCGCCCCAAAUACAUUGGCGGCCGGUACAUUGGCUUCGAGCGCAGCAGAAACGCGGUCUCGAGUCCGGUGGACUUGCUCCCAUAAGCAUCUUUUUAUUUUGACCUCGGAUCAGGUAGGGAUACCCGCUGAACUUAAGCAUAUCAAUAAGCGGAGGAAAAGAAACCAACAGGGAUUGCCCUAGUAACGGCGAGUGAAGCGGCAAUAGCUCAAAUUUGAAAUCUGGCCCUUUCAGGGUCCGAGUUGUAAUUUGUAGAGGGUGCUUUGGCGUUGGCUGUGGUCUAAGUUCCUUGGAACAGGACGUCGCAGAGGGUGAGAAUCCCGUAUGUGGCCGCCAGUCUUCGCCGUGUAAAGCCCCUUCGACGAGUCGAGUUGUUUGGGAAUGCAGCUCUAAAUGGGAGGUAAAUUUCUUCUAAAGCUAAAUAUUGGCCAGAGACCGAUAGCGCACAAGUAGAGUGAUCGAAAGAUGAAAAGCACUUUGGAAAGAGAGUCAAAAAGCACGUGAAAUUGUUGAAAGGGAAGCGCUUGCAGCCAGACUUGCCUGUAGUUGCUCAUCCGGGCUUUUGCCCGGUGCACUCUUCUAUGGGCAGGCCAGCAUC
RNAcentral lists this ribosomal RNA (833 nucleotides) under Dothideomycetes sp. RNAcentral describes it as "eukaryotic LSU rRNA". The stretch from base 336 to 833 matches the Rfam family "Eukaryotic large subunit ribosomal RNA", at positions 1 to 503 of the family's 3401-position model. The record is from RNAcentral. Lineage: Eukaryota; Fungi; Ascomycota; Dothideomycetes.